This 305-nucleotide ribosomal RNA is filed under the name uncultured bacterium. Its description in RNAcentral is "bacterial SSU rRNA". It matches the Rfam family "Bacterial small subunit ribosomal RNA", at positions 338 to 660 of the family's 1533-position model. The record is from RNAcentral.
CCUACGGGGCGCAGCAGUCGGGAAUAUUGCGCAAUGGAGGAAACUCUGACGCAGUGACGCCGCGUAUAGGAAGAAGGUUUUCGGAUUGUAAACUAUUGUCGUGAGGGAAGAAAUUGACAGUACCUCAGGAGGAAGCUCCGGCUAACUAUGUGCCAGCAGCCGCGGUAAUACGUAGGGAGCAAGCGUUAUCCGGAUUUAUUGGGUGUAAAGGGUGCGUAGACGGGAAGGCAAGUUGGUUGUGAAAUCCCUCGGCUUAACUGAGGAACUGCAACCAAAACUAUCUUUCUUGAGUGCUGGAGAGGAAA